RNAcentral lists this ribosomal RNA (425 nucleotides) under Silpha tristis. RNAcentral's name for it is "partial large subunit ribosomal RNA". The record is from RNAcentral. Lineage: Eukaryota; Metazoa; Arthropoda; Insecta; Coleoptera; Silphidae.
CGGUACUUUGACCGUGCGAAGGUAGCAUAAUAAUUAGUUUUUUAAUUGAAAGCUGGAAUGAAUGGUUGAACGAGAAAAAUACUGUCUCAAUUUAAAUUUAUUAGAAUUUUAUUUUUAAGUUAAAAAGCUUAAAUAAUUUUAAAAGACGAGAAGACCCUAUAGAGUUUUAUAAAUUUUAUUAUUUAAAAUUUUUAGAAUUAUAUAAUUUUUUAUACUUAAAUUUAUUUUAUUGGGGUGAUAGAAAAAUUUAAUAAACUUUUUUUUUAUUUAAACAUUUAUUUAUGAAUUUUUGAUCCAUUAUUUAUGAUUAUAAGAUUAAAUUACCUUAGGGAUAACAGCGUAAUUUCUUUAAAGAGUUCAAAUCGAAAGAGAAGUUUGCGACCUCGAUGUUGGAUUAAAAUUAAAUUUUGGUGUAGAAGCUAAAA